AGAGUUUGAUCCUGGCUCAGGAUGAACGCUAGCGGCAGGCUUAACACAUGCAAGUCGAGGGGCAGCAUAAUGGUAGCAAUACUAUUGAUGGCGACCGGCGGACGGGUGCGUAACGCGUAUGCAACCUACCCUUUACAGGGGGAUAACACUGAGAAAUCGGUACUAAUACCCCAUAAUAUUCCGGGAGGCAUCUUUCGGAGUUGAAAGCUUUGGUGGUAAAGGAUGGGCAUGCGUUGUAUUAGCUAGUUGGUAAGGUAACGGCUUACCAAGGCGACGAUACAUAGGGGGACUGAGAGGUUAACCCCCCACCAUUGGUACUGAGACACGGACCAAACUCCUACGGGAGGCAGCA
This 352-nucleotide ribosomal RNA is filed under the name uncultured bacterium. Its description in RNAcentral is "bacterial SSU rRNA". It matches the Rfam family "Bacterial small subunit ribosomal RNA", at positions 8 to 353 of the family's 1533-position model. The record is from RNAcentral.